Non-coding RNA from Salvia hispanica, 3704 nucleotides. The record is from RefSeq and is a predicted model, not a curated record. Lineage: Eukaryota; Viridiplantae; Streptophyta; Magnoliopsida; Lamiales; Lamiaceae.
AAUUUACCUGUGAUUUCCUUUGGACUUGAGCUAGCAAAAUUUAUCGGUUCCCGAUUUAGGGUUCUUUCUCGUUUCUCUCACAUCCUGAUUUAUCUCCCACUAUCUGUAGGUUCCCACUCUGAAUCAUUGCGUUGUUGGUGCUGUUUGUUUAUAACCUUUUGCCGUUGUCGAACUGAUCUACUUUUUGGAUUUUUUAUAAAUCGGCUUUUAGAUCAUCACACACACAUAUAUGUAUGUGUGCUUUGUUGAUUAUUGAUUUGUUGUUGUAAGUGUUGGAUACUCCAACAGAGGGAAACGAGAUUGGUUGGUGUAUAAAUUAUUGAUUUAUAUAUGGUCGCUGGUUGUUGGGAUUUUUGCAUUUGUGCUUUUUUGUGGUUGAGAUUUGGUGAAUUUGGUCGCGGAAAAGAAUGGAGGUUGAUUUCUACAGCAAUCCAGAUUAAUUUCAUUUGAUGUGAUGUGUUGUAGCUAUGAGCGAAGGAGAAUAGGUUUAAUUUAGUGUUUUUUCGUAACAACCAGCUGGAUUGAGUUGGUUUUGAUAAAUUUUGGGGGAAAUGAUGGAUAAAGGCAUUGAGCAUUUGAUAUCUGCUAGGAAGCUGUUGAAGGAGAGCUUAGAGAAAUCGAGAGCUUUAGGUUCGUCGUUGGAGAAGGUAGGGCCUAGAUUAGACGAGAUCAACCAAAGAUUACCAUCUAUGGAAGUAGCAAUUCGACCUAUUCGUGCUGAGAGUGAGGCUCUGAGCUCUGUUGGUGGUCAUAUAAAUAGAGCUGUAGUCCCUGCUGCAGCAGUUCUCAAGGUUUUUGAUGCCAUCCACGGCCUUGAGAAGUCGUUGUCCGACCCUCAGUCUAACUUGCCCGGGUACCUUAGCGUGCUCAAACGCCUUGAGGAGGCGUUGAGGUUUUUGGGGGAGAAUUGUGGCAUGGCUAUCCAGUGGCUGGGUGAUAUUGUGCAGUAUUUGGAGGAUCAUAAGGUGGCGGACACACGGUUCAUCUCAGGAUUAAAGAAGGCUUUGAAGAAUAUCCGGGAAUUGGAGACUGCUGAGGAGAAGGGCCAUCUUGAUGGUGGGUUGCUUGAUGUUGCUUUGGAUAGACUGGAAAGUGAGCUCCAGCGGCUGCUAACUGAGAAUAGUGUCCCGUUGCCUAUGUCCUCACCGGCCUUGCCUGGCGAACAGGCCAGCAUUGCCCCUUCACCUUUGCCCGUGGCCGUGAUUCAGAAGUUGCAUGCUAUAUUAGGGAGGUUAGCUGUGAAUGACAGGCUUGAGAAGUGUAUAUCCAUCUACGUGGAGGUCAGGAGCUCGAAUGUUAGAGCAAGUUUACGAGCUCUCAAUCUGGAUUAUCUUGAAAUAUCGGUGUCUGAGUUCAAUAAUGUCGCGAGCAUAGAGGGUUAUAUUGCUCAAUGGGGCAAGCAUUUGGAGUUUGCCAUGAAGCACCUCUUUGAGGCCGAAUACAAGCUCUGCCACGAUGUGUUUGAUCGGAUGGGACCAGACGUGUCCAAGAGCUGCUUCCCUAAGAUAGCUGCGCAGGCGGGGAUUCUCGCUUUCUUGCAGUUUGGCAGAACAGUGACUGAGAGUAAGAAGGAUCCCAUCAAGCUGUUGAAGCUUUUAGAUAUAUUUGCAUCACUAAAUAAACUUAGGUUGGAUUUCAACCGGCUUUUCGGUGGAGCUGCCUGUGCUGAGAUACAGAACAUGACUAGGGAUCUGAUCAAGAGAGUGAUCGAAGGCUCAUGUGAGAUUUUCUGGGAGCUUUUAGUCCAGGUCGAGCUGCAACGACAAACCCCGCCUCCUGCAGAUUGCAGCAUCCCAAGAGUAGUCACCUUCAUCACUGAUUAUUGUAACAAACUCCUUGGCGAUGAGUAUAAGCCGAUCCUCACUCAAGUUUUAGUCAUCGAGAGAAGCUGGAAGCACGAAAGUUUCCAAGAGCGGAUCCUCAUCACCGAGCUUCUGAAUCUAGUCAAAGCCAUCGAGCUCAACUUGGAGGCGUGGUCAAAGGGCUAUGAAGACGCAGUCCCUUCAUAUGUGUUCUUGAUGAACAACCAUUCACAUCUGUACAAGUAUCUAAAAGGGACGAAGCUAGGAGGCAUUGUGGGAGAGCCUUGGUUGAGCGAACACGACCAGUACAAGGAGUAUUACUCCGCUAUAUUUCUCAGAGAGAGCUGGGGCAAGCUUCCCACACAUUUAAGCAGGGAGGGUCUGAUCUUGUUCUCAGGGGGGCGUGCCACAGCUCGUAAUCUGGUGAAAGAGCGUCUGAAGGAAUUCAACGAAGCCUUUGAUGACAUGUAUGCAAAGCAGUCGAAAUGGGUUAUUCCUGACAAGGAUCUCCGCGAGAAAACAUGUCAGGCCAUAGUUCAAGCCAUUGUGCCUGUUUAUCGCAGCUAUAUGCAGAACUAUGGACCAUUGGUUGAGCAAGACCCUAGCACGAGUAAAUACGCCAAGUACACGGCUCAGUCUCUGGAGAAGAUGCUUCUCUCCCUUUUCCUUCCCAAGCUGCCCAAGCAAGUGAGUUUUCAGAUGAAGCAGGCAAGUGGGAAGUUCAGCAACGGGGCAGCGGAUCAGUAUCAGACGCCUCCAACGGUUAAAUGAUCAAACGCGCUGUGCAGAUAGAGAAUUUGACUUUGUAGACGCGCUAUUUAAGAUUCAAACGCUCCAGCAAGCGCCCUCACUUUGUUUGCCUUAUUCUCACGAAGCUUGUUUGCUGUCUCCUCGAUUACAUCGUUGGAAACUGGUGAGUCAUACUUCCCAUGUGUUUUAUCUUGCUGCCUCUGAGUAGCUGAGUUUUCUUGCUUCGUUUCAACUGCUGGCUCGGUUUCCUUAGACUCAACUGCAACCGCUGCUUGCUCCUCUGGUGCUACUUUGACCUCUUUCUCUUUAGCCUCUGCACGAGAAUUGUCUUCAAUUGUCUUGUUAUUGGCAGGUGACUCUGUAGAAGAUCCGGCAAUACGAACUGUUGGAUCUUCUCUUACUAAAUCAUCGAUGCCAUCAGCAGCUUCAUUGAGGAUUGACACGUUGUUCCUUUGUUGCUGGAUCACUACACCCACUCUCCUUCUUCGAGCCGAUGCUGCUUCUUCUCCCACUGCCCACAGACGAACUGGUGGAGAGGCGACGCUUUCCUUCUUCCUUCUCCACCGGUUUCCAUUUCUUAGCAGCAGCACCCACCACCUUAGGGGAAACCACGGCCUUGACUAGGCGCGAGGAGGCACGGCGGGCAGCACCAGCAGCGGCAGCAACAGCAGUUGGGACGCGCGUCUUAUGUGUAGGAGUUGCUGUCUUGCUAUCCAAGGAUCGUGUUCUGGUCUUUGCUGGCGUGCUUGGAGUGGCCGGGGAGGGUGGUUUCCUCGUCUGAGUCCUGGAAACACCGGCAGUAGCCUUGGAAACACCUGUAGUAAUAGCCUUGGAAACACCUGUAAUGGCCUUGGAAACACCGGAAGAAGCUGGGGCUUUCGACGCUACCGGCCUCGUCUCUUUUUGUGGUGCAGUUGAAACUUUUGGUUUGAGGGAGAUUUGAUUUACAACUCCUUUAAGCCUUGCUGCUCCUGUUUUUGGAGAAGGUGAUGCCUUCUCCUUGCCAGGGAGAGCAUCUCUUCUUCUUGUUGCCAUACAAUGAUUGGUAGUUCUUGAUGCCUACGUUUGGAAAUAUUCGCGUCGGUUGUGAAAUACGAGACAUAACAUGAACAAUGAUUCGAUUUAUGAUAAACAAAGAGAAUUCUUGGUUCA